UGUGUCUACGGUGUACUCACUUCUAUUCCU
This 30-nucleotide non-coding RNA is filed under the name Rattus norvegicus (Norway rat). Lineage: Eukaryota; Metazoa; Chordata; Mammalia; Rodentia; Muridae. The record is from RNAcentral.